RNAcentral lists this long non-coding RNA (592 nucleotides) under Lathyrus oleraceus (garden pea). RNAcentral describes it as "Pisum sativum (pea) long non-coding RNA (PSAT_LNC017348)". The record is from RNAcentral. Lineage: Eukaryota; Viridiplantae; Streptophyta; Magnoliopsida; Fabales; Fabaceae.
AUCUACCUCACUAAAACCCACUCAAAAUCUUCCAACAACCCUCCGUCGUUUUCAUCUAACACCACCGCUGCUCCAACCCAAAACAUCCAUCAUCUUCCUCAUCCAACCUUCCACAAUGCUUAACCCCAUCAAAACCCUCCUUCGAAACUCUCAAACACCAAACUCCACACGCCGACGAACCCCAAACCCACAACCCUGAAAUUUCUCCUAUGAAUUUGUUCGCACCAUCCUUUUCUCCGAAUACAAACCAUACGCAUCUCCUCCGUACCACACGACCGGUGAAUACUCAAUAUCUCCAAGAAUCUCUCGCCGUUGACGGAAAGAAGUUGAAUGAUAUCGUCGACAUAACGACCGGUGAAUACUCAAUAUCUCCAAGAAUCUCUCGCCGUUGACGGAAAGAAGUUGAAUGAUAUCGUCGACAUCAACGAAUUCAACAUCCUUGCAACUCAGGAAUUGUUCAGAGCAAAACUCAACAAUAAUAACUCAAUAGCAACUCAGCGGUGCCAUAGGAUAUCGAACAAGAACGAGGCCACUUGCUUCAGCUUUGUUUUGGAUGAUUUCAAGUUAGAGAGUUUUCUUCGAUUGGUUCGCU